GACGAACGCUGGCGGCGUGCUUAACACAUGCAAGUCGAACGGAAAGGCCCUGCUUUUGUGGGGUGCUCGAGUGGCGAACGGGUGAGUAACACGUGAGUAACCUGCCCUUGACUUUGGGAUAACUUCAGGAAACUGGGGCUAAUACCGGAUAGGAGCUCCUGCUGCAUGGUGGGGGUUGGAAAGUUUCGGCGGUUGGGGAUGGACUCGCGGCUUAUCAGCUUGUUGGUGGGGUAGUGGCUUACCAAGGCUUUGACGGGUAGCCGGCCUGAGAGGGUGACCGGCCCCAUUGGGACUGAGAUACGGCCCAGACUCCUACGGGAGGCAGCAGUGGGGAAUAUUGCACCAUGGGCGGAAGCCUGAUGCAGCAACGCCGCGUGCGGGAUGACGGCCUUCGGGUUGUAAACCGCUUUCGCCUGUGACGAAGCGUGAGUGACGGUAAUGGGUAAAGAAGCACCGGCUAACUACGUG
RNAcentral lists this ribosomal RNA (468 nucleotides) under uncultured bacterium. Its description in RNAcentral is "partial 16S ribosomal RNA". It matches the Rfam family "Bacterial small subunit ribosomal RNA", at positions 28 to 507 of the family's 1533-position model. The record is from RNAcentral.